GAUGAACGCUAGCGAUAGGCUAAACACAUGCAAGUCGAGGGGUAACGUGUUGGAAGCUUGCUUCCGAUGACGACGACCGGCGGAUGGGUGCGUAACGCGUAUGCAACUUGCCUCACAGUGGAGAAUAACCCGGAGAAAUCCGGACUAAUACUCCAUACACUCUUAAGUACGCCUGUACAUGAGAGGAAAGAUUUAUCGCUGUGAGAUAGGCAUGCGUCCUAUUAGGUAGUUGGUGAGGUAACGGCUCACCAAGCCGACGAUAGGUAGGGGUGCUGAGAGGCAGAUCCCCCACAUUGGGACUGAGACACGGCCCAAACUCCUACGGGAGGCAGCAGUGAGGAAUAUUGGUCAAUGGAGGAAACUCUGAACCAGCCAAGUCGCGUGAAGGAAGAAUGUCCUAAGGAUUGUAAACUUCUUUAGCGAGCGAGUAAGGACUUCCACGUGAUGGGAGUUUGAAAGUAGCUCGAGAAUAAGUAUCGGCUAACUCCGUG
RNAcentral lists this ribosomal RNA (491 nucleotides) under uncultured bacterium. RNAcentral describes it as "partial 16S ribosomal RNA". It matches the Rfam family "Bacterial small subunit ribosomal RNA", at positions 28 to 507 of the family's 1533-position model. The record is from RNAcentral.